AGCUCCUUAUGGAGCGAAGUCUUUGAUUCCCCGCUGCCAAGAAAAGCUUCUAGCGAGAUAAAAGGUGCCUGUACCGCAAACCGACACAGGUAGGCGAGGAGAGAAUCCUAAGGUGUGCGAGAGAACUCUGGUUAAGGAACUCGGCAAAAUGACCCCGUAACUUCGGGAGAAGGGGUGCUUUCUUAACGGAAAGCCGCAGUGAAUAGGCCCAAGCGACUGUUUAGCAAAAACACAGCUCUCUGCGAAGCCGUAAGGCGAAGUAUAGGGGGUGACACCUGCCCGGUGCUGGAAGGUUAAGGAGAGGGGUUAGCGUAAGCGAAGCUCUGAACUGAAGCCCCAGUAAACGGCGGCCGUAACUAUAACGGUCCUAAGGUAGCGAAAUUCCUUGUCGGGUAAGUUCCGACCCGCACGAAAGGUGUAACG
Molecule: ribosomal RNA, 423 nt
Filed under: Bacillus cereus
Lineage: Bacteria; Bacillati; Bacillota; Bacilli; Caryophanales; Bacillaceae
Description: partial 23S ribosomal RNA
Rfam family: Bacterial large subunit ribosomal RNA
Source: RNAcentral